AUUGAACGCUGGCGGCAUGCCUUACACAUGCAAGUCGAACGGCAGCAUGGAGAGCUUGCUCUCUGAUGGCGAGUGGCGAACGGGUGAGUAAUGCAUCGGAACGUACCGUGUAAUGGGGGAUAACGUAGCGAAAGUUACGCUAAUACCGCAUACGACCUGAGGGUGAAAGCAGGGGAUCGCAAGACCUUGCGUUAUACGAGCGGCCGAUGUCAGAUUAGCUAGUUGGUGAGGUAAAGGCUCACCAAGGCGACGAUCUGUAACGGGUAUGAGCGGAUGAUCCGCCACACUGGGACUGAGACACGGCCCAGACUCCUACGGAAGGCAGCAGUGGGGAAUUUUGGACAAUGGGGGCAACCCUGAUUCAGCCAUGCCGCGUGAGUGAUGAAGGCCUUAGGGUUGUAAAGCUCUUUCGUCCGGGAAGAAAUCGCACAGGCUAAUACUCUGUGUGGAUGACGGUACCGGCAUAAGAAGCACCGGCUAACUACGUGCCAGCCGCCGCAGUAA
Molecule: ribosomal RNA, 504 nt
Filed under: uncultured bacterium
Lineage: Bacteria
Description: partial 16S ribosomal RNA
Rfam family: Bacterial small subunit ribosomal RNA
Source: RNAcentral